Molecule: non-coding RNA, 827 nt
Filed under: Pongo abelii (Sumatran orangutan)
Lineage: Eukaryota; Metazoa; Chordata; Mammalia; Primates; Hominidae
Source: RNAcentral
CCGCUGCGUGCACCAAGUGCGUUGAAAGGUUUUCGCCGAUUAAAACGAAUAAAAACCGCGUCGAAAGGCAAAGAAGUUAGAGGUUAGGCAGGGUUGAAAAGUACUCAGCUGGACACCGGAGAAAAAAGAAACCCCCACAAGAACUCCGGUUGUUCGGGUGUGUCCUAACAGCCUCACUCUGGACCUCUUGGACCUGGUAGGUCCGCGUCCCCAGUCCCUGCGGGGACAGCCCAGGAAGAGGCCAGGUUCCAGGACAGCCCAAGCAUCCGAAUCAAGUUAUCUACACCCCCGAGACUGAGCAAUAGAUGAACGAAUCGAGUCUAUUUCGGCAUUUUCCAGGGGAAAUGAAAGUGUAUGCCCAAAGAAGGACUUGUAUUUCAAUGUUCAUAGAAGUUUUAUGCACAAGAGUCCAAAACUGCAAAAAAAUCCAGAAGUUCAUCAACUGGGAUGGUGUGAAGUGUCUGCAGGCAUCCGAGUGAACCCACAGGGAGAGUUCGGCUGGCACACAGGGAGACGGGCCAAGGCGCGGCAGGCGAGGGCGGCACAAGCGUGGUGCUGCGACACCACUGCUGGGAGCAGGGCUGAAAGGUGUCUUUUACUCUAAGGACUUUCAUAAGGCAGUCCCAAUCCAAAGACUGACUUUAGUUGCAUGGCCUUAGCCUCUCAGUUUCUUAAGCCUUCUGAGGACCUCCUGAUCAUGACAAAUAAGUCACUAUUUACAGCCAUGUGACAGAUAAAUCCUUCAGAUUUGUUCUGAAGGACCCCCAAAAGGAAACAUAUGAGAGUACCCACACUCGGCACAGGAACGGCAAGAGACCUCCUGUGAG